Molecule: long non-coding RNA, 645 nt
Filed under: Gossypium barbadense (sea-island cotton)
Lineage: Eukaryota; Viridiplantae; Streptophyta; Magnoliopsida; Malvales; Malvaceae
Description: long non-coding RNA (GBAR_LNC001898)
Source: RNAcentral
UUCUAAAAAUUACAUUUAGCCCCAGAAGUUUUGUUGCAUUUGUGAUUUGGUCCUUCAGACAGAUUACGUGAUUUGGGGCACCUACUUCCCAGAUUUUCAGGCCAAAAACAUGGGUGGUUGUUCCUUCUUCACCCACUACCUGCAAAUGGCAUAAAAAAUAAGCAAAAUGGUAGAAAUGAAAAAGAAACACAAAAAAAAAGAGAGGAUUCUCCCAUUUGAAAAAAAAAGAGCAAAAAAAAACAAAAAAAAUAUUAGCAAUCAAGAGAAAAAACGUAGAAAUGUGGAUCUUCGAUUUCAUUUUAUUUGUUUUCAUUUCGUUUUAACUUCUUCUUAGUUUCCUUUCAAAUUUACUGCAAAUCAAUAAACAAAAAGGGGGUUUUGUUUUCAAAUACAAAAAGGGGGUUGUAUUACACAGAUUAUUAAUAAAAAGGAGAACAAAAAAAGGUUGUUUUCAUAUUUUCUUUCCUUGGUUUUUUUUUCUUUCUUUAGAUUUUUUUAUUUUAUUUUUUGUGUUAAAUCUUUUAAAAAAAUAAAAAUAAAAAACAAAAGAUGGGCUGAAAACUUACCUAUUCUUCGCGUCCCGCCCCCAUCGGAGAUUCCCCGAUCCAAAAGGGCCACGAAACCCCUCAGGUUUCUCGUUUAGGC